GGGUCUGUGGAGCGCCCAGAGGUCACUCAUAAUCCUUUGGUCGCAGGUUCGAUCCCUGCCGGGCCCA
Molecule: transfer RNA, 67 nt
Filed under: Actinomycetota bacterium
Lineage: Bacteria; Bacillati; Actinomycetota
Description: tRNA-Ile
Rfam family: tRNA
About the family: Transfer RNA (tRNA) molecules are approximately 80 nucleotides in length. Their secondary structure includes four short double-helical elements and three loops (D, anti-codon, and T loops). Further hydrogen bonds mediate the characteristic L-shaped molecular structure. tRNAs have two regions of fundamental functional importance: the anti-codon, which is responsible for specific mRNA codon recognition, and the 3' end, to which the tRNAs corresponding amino acid is attached (by aminoacyl-tRNA synthetases). tRNAs cope with the degeneracy of the genetic code in two manners: having more than one tRNA (with a specific anti-codon) for a particular amino acid; and 'wobble' base-pairing, i.e. permitting non-standard base-pairing at the 3rd anti-codon position.
Source: RNAcentral